Molecule: ribosomal RNA, 1389 nt
Filed under: Taeniapion delicatulum
Lineage: Eukaryota; Metazoa; Arthropoda; Insecta; Coleoptera; Brentidae
Description: partial 16S ribosomal RNA
Rfam family: tRNA (bases 1205-1267)
Source: RNAcentral
UUCAGAGGAACCUGUCCUGUAAUUGAUAAUCCACGAUUUAAAUUACUUAUUUUAUUAAUUUGCAUAUCGUCGUAGUUUGAAUAUUUUUAAAAAAAUAUAAUAUUCAAGAUUUUUUUUUUAUAAAGUAAUUCAGAUCAAGGUGUAGUUUAUAAAUAAGAAGAGAUGGGUUACAAUAAAUUUAUUUAUAUGGAAAAUGAUUUUAAAAAUUAUUUGAAAGUGGAUUUGAAAGUAAUUUAAAUUAAUUAAUUUAAAUGAUUUUAGCUCUAAAAUAUGUACAUAUCGCCCGUCAUUUUCAUUAUAAAGUGAAACAAGUCGUAACAUAGUAGGCGUACUGGAAAGUGUGCCUAGAAUGGCAAAUUAGAGCUUGUUUUUAAGCAUUUUAUUUACAUUAAAAAGUUUAUUGUGAAAAUCAAUAUGAUUUGAUUAAAUUUUAUUAUUAAAAUCUAAAAUUUUUAUAUAUUUUAAAAAAAUAAUUUAUUGUUUUAUUACAAAAAUGAAAAAAUUUAUAUUAAUUAUAGUAAAUUAGUAUUGUGAAAGAAUUAAUUUAUAAAAAUAAAAGAAUAAUUUUGUUUUAAAAAACAUGGCCUUUUGAAUUUAAUUUAAGGUUUAACCUGCCCAAUGAAAAUUUAAAUGGCCGCAGUAUCCUAACUGUGCAAAGGUAGCAUAAUCAUUUGUUUUUUAAUUGAAAGCUGGAAUGAAAGGUUGAAUGAGAAAAUAACUGUCUCUAUUUAAUUUUCUUAGAAUUUUAUUUUUAAGUUAAAAAGCUUAAAUAUUUUUUGAAGACGAGAAGACCCUAUAGAGUUUAAUAAUUUAAAAUAUAAAAAAUUUAGAAUUAAUUUUUUUUAUGUAAAAAAAUUAUUUAAUUGGGGUGAUUAAAAAAUUUAAAUAACUUUUUUUUUAUUAUUACAUAAAUUAAUGAUUAAUUGAUCCUUUAAAAGAUUAAAAGAUUAAAUUACCUUAGGGAUAACAGCGUAAUUUUUUUUUAGAGUUCAAAUUAAAAAAAAAGAUUGCGACCUCGAUGUUGGAUUAAAAUAAAAAAUUGGUGUAGAAGCUAAUUUAUUGAGUCUGUUCGACUUUUAAAAUUUUACUUGAUCUGAGUUCAAACCGGUGUGAGCCAGGUUGGUUUCUAUCUCAAAUUAGUUAAUAUAUUUUAGUACGAAAGGACCAAAUAUAUGAUUAAUAAUUUAUUUUAUGAAUACCAUUAAUUAUUUUGGCAGAAUAGUGCAAUAGAUUUAGAAUCUUUAAAUGUAAAUUUUUACAAAUAAUACUUGUUAAUAAAAGAUUUUUUUAUAAUUUUAAUUUCUUGUUUAAUUUUAUCUUUUAGGGUAAUAAUUGGUGUAGCUUUUUUAACUUUAUUAGAACGAAAAGUUUUAGGAUAUAUUCAAAUUC